CCCCUGCCGGUGCCCUCCCCGCCCGGCCCUAGCUCUCUCGCCUUCUCGCCCGCCCGGCGCUGGCCCUGCUGGAUCCUGCGCGCCGGGGACUGGGGGCUGGCAGUGCAGACCGAACCCGGGGCCGAGGGGCUUCUCCACAGAGCCGCCUGGGGCUCGGUGGGGGGCGCUCAGCUCGACCCCAGCUAAGGGAGCACUAGGAAGUGCGGGCGUCCCCUUCCCUGCACCCUUGCGGGGCGGGAACCGUCGACCUAGAAGAAAAAAAAAGCUGAGGCAAACUUGAUAUAAGUAGAGAGGUUAUUUGGGCCAAGUUUGAAGAUUGCAACCCGGGAGCAUAGCUUCAAGUUGCCCUGAACAUAGGAUUUGCAACAGUGACAAAGGUGAGGCCAGAGAAGUGACAAGACAGAUGCCAGUCCAGCAGGUGGGCAUGUCCAGAAAGUGCAGCCUCAGGACACGGUCUGGGAACAAAGACUGCUGGAGAGUUGGAAGCUGGCAAGAGGCUCUCAGCUGUGAAGUACCUGGGGUGGGGGAGAAGUGGUCGGAGAAAGCAGAGACAUUUGGCUUCACUUGAACCUGUGUUUGAAGCUUUAGUGAACAUUGUCUUUGGGAGUAAGAAGUACUAGAAAAUUUAUGUUCAUCUGCAUCUUGUCACUGGGACAUGAGCAUAGGUGGUCUACCUUCAGUUUGGUCUGUGAACAGGAGGAUUACUUGAGCUCAGGAGUUCUAGUCCAGCCUGGGCAACAGAGCAAGACCCUGUCUCAAAAAGAAAGAAAGAAAUGAGGAUAUGAGUUUGCUGCUCUUUAAAUCGAUGACUUUGCAGCUCUUCAUCUGAAGAGGUGGCGUCUGUUUCUCCUGUUUGAGUGUGGCACAUCCAGGAGAGUGGCUUUGAGCAGUGGUGUGGCAGACGUGACUGUAGGCCAGCCCUGAGCUGAGGCUGCCAGGGGACUGCACACUUCUUCUCUCAGCUCUGCCAGCUGCUGCACUGUGUCUGGGCCAGCCCGCUGGAGCACAGAGUUCAGUGCAUUGGGACAGCUACAGCCCAUUGCAUCGGGACAGCCCACAGCAACAAGACCCACCUGUCGCCACUGCAGGUGCGUGAGGGUGCCCGGCUGAGAGCAGACAAACCGCCUAGCAGGUGGCUUUUCAAGCGGAAUCACAGACUAGCUCCAUCGCUGUGGUGAACGUUCUCCCCAGUGCCAGGAUUCCACUUGGCCCCUGACUGCUUGAGCAGCCGAUGUGACAGCCAUCUCUCUGCUGCCGUGCAUGUCGGCUGGGCUGGAGCCAGUGCAUCAGGAAGUAGACGCAGAAGUGGAUCAGGAGCAAAACAUUCCUGAGAGCUGGCAGAAGCUGGCGUCUGGAGCCGCUGGGAUGCGGGUAUGGGCUCUCUCAGUGGCGGAGGAACAGCCUCCUGGCAGAACCAAAGGUUGCUUUGUGCCUUCGAUGCUGCUGCUGGCCAGAGUGGUUUUCUGUCUCAGACCCUGUACCACGUGUCUGUUCUUUCUCAUUUUUUACUUAAAGGAGAAGAAAAUGAUUAUGUGUA
This 1537-nucleotide long non-coding RNA is filed under the name Homo sapiens (human). Its description in RNAcentral is "HSALNT0402618". The record is from RNAcentral. Lineage: Eukaryota; Metazoa; Chordata; Mammalia; Primates; Hominidae.